RNAcentral lists this ribosomal RNA (314 nucleotides) under uncultured Tenacibaculum sp. Its description in RNAcentral is "bacterial SSU rRNA". It matches the Rfam family "Bacterial small subunit ribosomal RNA", at positions 518 to 831 of the family's 1533-position model. The record is from RNAcentral. Lineage: Bacteria; Pseudomonadati; Bacteroidota; Flavobacteriia; Flavobacteriales; Flavobacteriaceae.
CGGUAAUACGGAGGUUCCGGGCGUUAUCCGGAAUCAUUGGGUUUAAAGGGUCCGCAGGCGGUCAAUUAAGUCAAACGUGAAAUCCCCUAUCUUAACUAUGGAACUGCCUUUGAUACUGGUUGACUUGAGUUAUUUGGAAGUAGGUAAAAUGUGUAGAGUAGCGGUGAAAUGCAUAGAUAUUACACAGAAUACCGAUUGCGAAGGCAGACUACUAUGCAUAAACUGACGCUGAUGGAAGAAAGCGUGGGGAGCGAACAGGAUUAGAUACCCUGGUAGUCCACGCCGUAAACGAUGGAUACUAGUUGUUGGGAUUU